UGGCGAACGGGUGAGUAACACGUGGGUAACCUGCCCAUCAGAAGGGGAUAACACUUGGAAACAGGUGCUAAUACCGUAUAACACUAUUUUCCGCAUGGAAGAAAGUUGAAAGGCGCUUUUGCGUCACUGAUGGAUGGACCCGCGGUGCAUUAGCUAGUUGGUGAGGUAACGGCUCACCAAGGCAACGAUGCAUAGCCGACCUGAGAGGGUGAUCGGCCACACUGGGACUGAGACACGGCCCAGACUCCUACGGGAGGCAGCAGUAGGGAAUCUUCGGCAAUGGACGAAAGUCUGACCGAGCAACGCCGCGUGAGUGAAGAAGGUUCUCGGAUCGUAAAACUCUGUUGUUAGAGAAGAACAAGGAUGAGAGUAGAACGUUCAUCCCUUGACGUAUCUACCAGAAGCC
RNAcentral lists this ribosomal RNA (406 nucleotides) under Enterococcus casseliflavus. RNAcentral describes it as "bacterial SSU rRNA". It matches the Rfam family "Bacterial small subunit ribosomal RNA", at positions 96 to 492 of the family's 1533-position model. Lineage: Bacteria; Bacillati; Bacillota; Bacilli; Lactobacillales; Enterococcaceae. The record is from RNAcentral.